UACGAAGGGAGCUAGCGUUAUCCGGAUUCACUGGGUUUAAAGGGUGCGUAGGAGGGCAGGUAAGUCAGUGGUGAAAUCUCCAAGCUUAACUUGGAAACUGCCGUUGAUACUAUCUGCCUUGAAUACCGUGGAGGUGAGCGGAAUAUGUCAUGUAGCGGUGAAAUGCUUAGAUAUGACAUAGAACACCAAUUGCGAAGGCAGCUCGCUACACGAAUAUUGACUCUGAGGCACGAAAGCGUGGGGAUCAAACAGG
RNAcentral lists this ribosomal RNA (253 nucleotides) under uncultured bacterium. RNAcentral's name for it is "partial 16S ribosomal RNA". It matches the Rfam family "Bacterial small subunit ribosomal RNA", at positions 524 to 776 of the family's 1533-position model. The record is from RNAcentral.